Molecule: ribosomal RNA, 427 nt
Filed under: uncultured bacterium
Lineage: Bacteria
Description: partial 16S ribosomal RNA
Rfam family: Bacterial small subunit ribosomal RNA
Source: RNAcentral
UGGGGAAUAUUGCACAAUGGGCGCAAGCCUGAUGCAGCCAUGCCGCGUGUAUGAAGAAGGCCUUCGGGUUGUAAAGUACUUUCAGCGGGGAGGAAGGCGAUAAGGUUUAUAACCUUGUCGAUUGACGUUACCCGCAGAAGAAGCACCGGCUAACUCCGUGCCAGCAGCCGCGGUAAUACGGAGGGUGCAAGCGUUAAUCGGAAUUACUGGGCGUAAAGCGCACGCAGGCGGUCUGUCAAGUCGGAUGUGAAAUCCCCGGGCUCAACCUGGGAACUGCAUUCGAAACUGGCAGGCUAGAGUCUUGUAGAGGGGGGUAGAAUUCCAGGUGUAGCGGUGAAAUGCGUAGAGAUCUGGAGGAAUACCGGUGGCGAAGGCGGCCCCCUGGACAAAGACUGACGCUCAGGUGCGAAAGCGUGGGGAGCAAACA